This 497-nucleotide ribosomal RNA is filed under the name uncultured bacterium. Its description in RNAcentral is "partial 16S ribosomal RNA". It matches the Rfam family "Bacterial small subunit ribosomal RNA", at positions 28 to 507 of the family's 1533-position model. The record is from RNAcentral.
GAUGAACGCUGGCGGCGUGCCUAAUACAUGCAAGUCGAGCGAACGGACGAGAAGCUUGCUUCUCUGAUGUUAGCGGCGGACGGGUGAGUAACACGUGGAUAACCUACCUAUAAGACUGGGAUAACUUCGGGAAACCGGAGCUAAUACCGGAUAAUAUUUUGAACCGCAUGGUUCAAAAGUGAAAGACGGUCUUGCUGUCACUUAUAGAUGGAUCCGCGCUGCAUUAGCUAGUUGGUAAGGUAACGGCUUACCAAGGCAACGAUGCAUAGCCGACCUGAGAGGGUGAUCGGCCACACUGGAACUGAGAAACGGUCCAGACUCCUACGGGAGGCAGCAGUAGGGAAUCUUCCGCAAUGGGCGAAAGCCUGAAGGAGCAACGCCGCGUGAGUGAUGAAGGUCUUCGGAUCGUAAAACUCUGUUAUUAGGGAAGAACAUAUGUGUAAGUAACUGUGCACAUCUUGACGGUACCUAAUCAGAAAGCCACGGCUAACUACGUG